RNAcentral lists this ribosomal RNA (492 nucleotides) under uncultured bacterium. Its description in RNAcentral is "partial 16S ribosomal RNA". It matches the Rfam family "Bacterial small subunit ribosomal RNA", at positions 29 to 507 of the family's 1533-position model. The record is from RNAcentral.
AUUGAACGCUGGCGGCAUGCUUUACACAUGCAAGUCGAACGGUAACAGGCCUUCGGGUGCUGACGAGUGGCGAACGGGUGAGUAAUGCAUCGGAACGUACCCAGAGGUGGGGGAUAACGCAGCGAAAGCUGUGCUAAUACCGCAUGUGAUCUGAGGAUGAAAGCGGGGGACCGAGCAGCAAUGUUUGGCCUCGCGCCUUUGGAGCGGCCGAUGUCGGAUUAGCUAGUUGGUGGGGUAAAGGCCUACCAAGGCGACGAUCCGUAGCUGGUCUGAGAGGACGACCAGCCACACUGGAGCUGAGACACGGCCCAGACUCCUACGGGAGGCAGCAGUGGGGAAUAUUGGACAAUGGGCGCAAGCCUGAUCCAGCAAUGCCGCGUGCGGGAAGAAGGCCUUCGGGUUGUAAACCGCUUUUGGCAGGAACGAAACGGUGUCCGCUAAUACCGGGCGCUAAUGACGGUACCUGCAGAAUAAGCACCGGCUAACUACGUG